ACUGUUUUGCCGGUAGUCGUGGUAAUACUAUGAAAAUUUAGAUGCCAAUCACCAUAUAAGUUCAACGAUGAAAAAGCCUGGAAGGAGGAGAGAUGACUAGAAACGAUUCAGUUGGCCUUUUUAUUUGUGGAUUAAUUGGCGGAGUAGAGGAGCUUGUGCAUUUCAGGAUUAGUGCUGUCAGGAGAAGCUUCUGCCCUGUAUUUAUUACCCCGCCUGUGGGUGUGAGGAGGGAAGGAGGAGGGAAGGAGGGGAGCGUCCGUGACCCCCAGCCAGGCCCUGGUCCUGUUUUGUCUUCGCUACAUUCCUCCUGCUGCAGUGAGAUGGAUGUGAUUUCAUUGGAAUGAAUCCAUAUCCAAACUGGCCUCCCUUGGAGGGCGUUUUUCUGCGCCAGGACAACCCACAGUUGAGCUCGAGGGAGGCCAAAUGCUUGCUGGCAUCAAUCACUCAAAUGCUACAGUGGAAACAUGUCACACUCUUUUGUUCCAGAUAGCAUCAGGUACAUUGACUAUACAUACUGAGACAGAGGGGCGCUGUUUCCCUCGCUUGGAUGAUUUCACCGCUGAGACCCAGCCACUUGCAUAUUCAUAGAAAAUUAUUAAAACAGAGAGACGAAAGAUACAUUAUUUAUAUUUUUUAUUGGUCAUAUAUAUGGGGAAGCCUGGCAUUCCUUGGGAUCCAUGAAUACAUGCCACUUAUCAAAAUAAAGGUAUCUUUCUUCUCUUUCUUGUGAUGUGGUUCUAGGUUUUGAGACGAUGCGUUAAAUGCCCAAUGGAGUUUUAGUGUUCUUAUAGAUGAAAUGGAAAGACAAUGUAUUCCAC
This is a long non-coding RNA of Oncorhynchus tshawytscha (Chinook salmon), 818 nucleotides long. The record is from Ensembl. Lineage: Eukaryota; Metazoa; Chordata; Actinopteri; Salmoniformes; Salmonidae.